This is a long non-coding RNA of Fukomys damarensis (Damara mole-rat), 569 nucleotides long. RefSeq lists it as uncharacterized. Lineage: Eukaryota; Metazoa; Chordata; Mammalia; Rodentia; Bathyergidae. The record is from RefSeq and is a predicted model, not a curated record. The transcript is spliced from 4 exons.
CAUUAUGGUUCACAGUACUCAGGACAGGGGACCGACCCACCUGUCCGCCAUGCACGACUUGAUGAAAAGUCUGACAUAUUUACAAACGCAAUGGAAGAUGAGCUAUAUUGUACUUUUCAGUACGGAGCAUCGAACCCAGGACCUUGUGUUUGCCAGCCAGGUGCAACGCCACUGAGAUACAUCCCCAGCCCAUGAGGAUAUGUUUCUGGACACUCACUCCAGCGGCGUAAAGAAGAUGGACAUCAAAUAACACAAAGAGAGCAGGACUCUAGUGAUUACAUCUUUCAUCAAGAUGGAGCAACAGAGACCAGAUUCAAUACUGCUCCUGAAACAGCCAGAAAUUCUACAAUAUCUAUGAAAUACCCGCUUUGAAAACACUGGUUAUCAGGAAAUGAAGGACAGUGUUUGUGGAAAAGUAGAGCAACAAUGAGGUAAAACCAUCCUGCUUGUAGAAGAACAAAAUGGAUAAUCAUGCUCUUGAGGUAAAGAAAACAAAAAUUUUUUCAACAUUACACCAAAACUUUAUCGAUAAAGAAAAGUGGAUGCAUAUUAAUAAUGCUAAUAAGUAA